RNAcentral lists this ribosomal RNA (519 nucleotides) under uncultured eukaryote. Its description in RNAcentral is "SSU rRNA". It matches the Rfam family "Eukaryotic small subunit ribosomal RNA", at positions 1161 to 1699 of the family's 1831-position model. The record is from RNAcentral.
AGGGCACCACCAGGAGUGGAGCCUGCGGCUUAAUUUGACUCAACACGGGAAAACUCACCCGGCCCGGACACUGGAAGGAUUGACAGAUUGGGAGCUCUUUCUUGAUUCAGUGGGUGGUGGUGCAUGGCCGUUCUUAGUUGGUGGAGUGAUUUGUCUGGUUAAUUCCGAUAACGAACGAGACUCUAGCCUACUAAAUAGAUCGUCGGCUUACAAACGCCGGCGAGACUUCUUAGAGGGACAGGCGGUGAUUCAACCGCACGAAACAGAGCAAUAACAGGUCUGUGAUGCCCUUAGAUGUCCGGGGCCGCGCGCGCGCUACACUGAAGUGAUCAGCGUGCUUUUUCAACCUACUCUGUCAAGAGUGGGGAACCCAAUGAACCUUCUUCGUGAUUGGGAUAGGGGAUUGUAAUUAUUCCCCUUGAACGAGGAAUUCCCAGUAAGCGCGAGUCAUAUGCUCGCGUUGAUUACGUCCCUGCCCUUUGUACACACCGCCCGUCGCUACUACCGAUUGAAUGUUUU